RNAcentral lists this ribosomal RNA (752 nucleotides) under Enterobacter cancerogenus. Its description in RNAcentral is "bacterial SSU rRNA". It matches the Rfam family "Bacterial small subunit ribosomal RNA", at positions 100 to 838 of the family's 1533-position model. The record is from RNAcentral. Lineage: Bacteria; Pseudomonadati; Pseudomonadota; Gammaproteobacteria; Enterobacterales; Enterobacteriaceae.
GGACGGGUGAGUAAUGUCUGGGAAACUGCCUGAUGGAGGGGGAUAACUACUGGAAACGGUAGCUAAUACCGCAUAACGUCGCAAGACCAAAGAGGGGGACCUUCGGGCCUCUUGCCAUCGGAUGUGCCCAGAUGGGAUUAGCUAGUAGGUGGGGUAACGGCUCACCUACGCGACGAUCCCUAGCUGGUCUGAGAGGAUGACCAGCCACACUGAAACUGAGACUCGGUCCAGACUCCUACGGGAGGCAGGAGUGGGGAAUAUUGCACAAUGCGCACGAGCCUGAUGCAGCCAUGCCGCGUGUAUGAAGAAGGCCUUCGGGUUGUAAAGUACUCUCAGCGGGGAAGAAGGCGAUGAGGUUAAUAACCUGGGCGAGUGACGUUACCCUCAGAUGAAGUAUCAGCUUGCUGCGUGACACCAGCCGCGGUAAUACUGAGGCUGUAAGCGUUAAUCGCAAUUACUGGGGGUAAAGCCCACGCGGCCAGACUGUUUAGUGGGAUGAGAAACCCGCGGUCUCAACCUGUUAACUGCCCUCGAAUUUGGCACCUCUAGAGUCUUGUAUAUGCGAGGUAGAAUUCCCUCGUGUACCCGUAUAUAUGCAUAUAUAUCUGGAGGUAAUACCCGUUCGCCGAGGGAGGCUCCCCUGGCACAUAGACUGAUCUCUGACGUGCGAUAUUGUGAGGCAGCAAACAGGAUGAGAUCCGCGUGUUUCUCACUCCGCCAUUAAACAAAGUCGACUGUGGAGGCUUGUACCC